This 191-nucleotide ribosomal RNA is filed under the name Anoxybacteroides amylolyticum. Its description in RNAcentral is "Anoxybacillus amylolyticus partial 16S ribosomal RNA". It matches the Rfam family "Bacterial small subunit ribosomal RNA", at positions 1 to 184 of the family's 1533-position model. The record is from RNAcentral. Lineage: Bacteria; Bacillati; Bacillota; Bacilli; Caryophanales; Anoxybacillaceae.
UUUCUUUGGAGAGUUUGAUCCUGGCUCAGGACGAACGCUGGCGGCGUGCCUAAUACAUGCAAGUCGAGCGGACCGGAUCGGAGCUUGCUCUGAUUGGGUCAGCGGCGGACGGGUGAGUAACACGUGGGCAACCUGCCCGCAAGACCGGGAUAACUCCGGGAAACCGGAGCUAAUACCGGAUAACACCGAAG